GAAUAUCUUCGGGGUAGGGUGAAAUUCCCGACCGGUGGUAAGCAGUGCUGCUGCAAGCCCACGAGCCGCAAGGCAGACUUGGUGCGAUUCCAAGGCCGACAGUACAGUCUGGAUGAAAGAAGAUAUGA
This 128-nucleotide non-coding RNA is filed under the name Propionispora sp. 2/2-37. RNAcentral's name for it is "FMN riboswitch aptamer (RFN element)". It matches the Rfam family "FMN riboswitch aptamer (RFN element)". From Rfam's summary of the family: The RFN element is a highly conserved domain that is found frequently in the 5'-untranslated regions of prokaryotic mRNAs that encode for flavin mononucleotide (FMN) biosynthesis and transport proteins. This element is a metabolite-dependent riboswitch that directly binds FMN in the absence of proteins. In Bacillus subtilis, the riboswitch most likely controls gene expression by causing premature transcription termination within the 5' untranslated region of the ribDEAHT operon and precluding access to the ribosome-binding site of ypaA mRNA. The record is from Rfam by way of RNAcentral. Lineage: Bacteria; Bacillati; Bacillota; Negativicutes; Selenomonadales; Sporomusaceae. RNAcentral also lists the same sequence under 1 other name.